CCGGAAGCGUGUGUAAGACCUGCGAGUGUGGGGGGGACCUCUGCCUGGUUUGUGACUUCUGCCAAGCUUUCUAGGUGGCCCUGGGUUCUUUCUGACUUCGGUCCUGUUGACGCACGGAAGUUAUUUGUGGUGGGCUUGUCAGUGAACUGAUGCAGAGUUUUCAGCAGCGAGCUCAUCCUGAGGAGAAUGGAGAAGGUCAUCAAACAUCAUUGUGGAUGCCAUCCUGGAACACGGGGCCAUAGAGAGAUCUUCAAACCUGCAGUGAAGUCCUCUGCCAACGGACCUGUCAUGGAUUCUACAAUAGACUGAUUAUAUUAACAUGCUUGUGUCUUCUACUUCUGUUCUGACAAUGCUAAUCAUAUUUCAACUGCUGCAUUUGCAAAAAAAAAAAAAAGGAGGAGUUGUUGGGGAGCACUACAAAGUGGCUCUGAGCAGGAUUUAAUAUUAACCAAUUAGCUUUGCGUGUUUACUUGUGAGCUCUCUGAGGCUCAGGCAGCUUGUCUGACAAUGAGACUGCAGCUAAGGACAUCUGGCUCCAACCCCAGUUAUCUAUGAGGAGACUGCAGCUGCAGGCCCCACACUCCUACAAUAAAUACCAACCUAAAGAUAAGAUUUCUCCUGAUUGUCAUAAUUUACUACUUGGGAAAAU
Molecule: long non-coding RNA, 649 nt
Filed under: Chinchilla lanigera (long-tailed chinchilla)
Lineage: Eukaryota; Metazoa; Chordata; Mammalia; Rodentia; Chinchillidae
Description: lncRNA (ENSCLAG00000029034.1)
Source: RNAcentral